Capsicum annuum is the source of this 106-nucleotide non-coding RNA. NCBI's taxonomy places the organism in Eukaryota, Viridiplantae, Streptophyta, Magnoliopsida, Solanales, Solanaceae. The record is from Rfam.
ACUUUAUGGUAAGGGCAUUGCAAAAGUUUUUCAUUAAAUCUCUCCCACACUUUAUAUAGAGGCUCCCCAUUUAUUUGAUGAAAAUUUGUUAUUUUGUCUCAUAAUU